CAAGGGCUGUGAGAUUCCAGAUGCUACCUGGCAGUGCCAUCGAAGUCCCCAGAUCUUCUGGACUGGCAGAAGGAGGGAUGAGAUUGAUAACCCGGGAUAAUAGCUCGGGCUGGCGGAAAGCUGAAGGGAACUCUUUCCAUCAAAAGGUGUCCUCCAGCUGGACACAUCCCAGGCCACGGCAGGGCCUAGUGCGGUCCUUUGUUUCAGAGAGAACUGUGAUCUCAGUAAGGCCUGAAGCUCUCAGUGCCGGUGGAAACCUCCUUCCAGGGAGGGGGAAGGGCUCCAUGGCUGGCCACGAGUCAGCGGAUGCUAAACCUGGUCGCUCAGUGGAGAGGUGGCAAGUCUGGAGUCUGAUUUGCUUUUGUGUCCUGGUUUUGCUGCCUGUAUCUUAUAAGAUCUUGGGUCCCCCGUCUCUGGCUCUUCUCACAUGGGAGAGCUGGCUGAAAACCAACACUUCCAGAUCCGAAAGGGGAGAAGCCCAGGGAGAGGGGAAGAAGCCUGCUCUCUCUGCACUGCUAAGAGCUCACAGCUUGAAUCUCAAUGCUCUCUGAGGACAGGGAAUUCACGUCUCCAGGGAGAAGUGAGAAGCUUGAGUCCCCCGCUCAGCUGAAGGUAACUCUUCAGAACUGGCAGAACUAAGUCCCAAAGGAGGAAAGAAAUGGACAGGACAAGAGAAGAUUGCACUCCUGGUUCCCUGGCAGACAUGGCUCAUAGACAGGAACAGAGCUGACCAGACAAUGAGAGAAAUUCGACAGUGAGAACAGUCCAGUGAUGAGUGAUGACCUAGCAGAUCAACGGAGUGAUGCCAUCAUGGACCCUAUCCCUACCCCAUCAAGCUUCUCUAACUGAAAAUGCUUUCUUUUAAAAAUGUAUUUACUUUUGGCUGCCCUAGGUCUCCGCUGCUGUGUGCAGGCUUUCUCUAGUUGCACGAGCAGGGGCUUCUCUUGAUUGCGGUGUGCGGGCUUCCCAUUGCAGGGGCUUCUCUUGUUGCGGAGCACAGGGCUUUAGGCCCCCAGGCUUCAGUUGUUGUAGCACACAGGCUCAGUAGUUGUGGCGGACGGGCCUAUUUGCUUCACAGCAUGUAGAAUCUUCCCGGACCAAGGAUCCAGCCUGUGUCCUCUGCAUUGGCAGGCAGAUUCCUAUCCACUGUGCCACCAGGGAAUCCCUGAAAAUGCCUUCUUUGAUGAUGGAUGUUCUGUUGAUGCUGGGAGGGACAGAUAAGAUGGCAGCAGGUGGCCCUGGGUCUGCUUAGCCUGGAAGGCAGCCCCAGGAGGUAAGGACAGAAACAGGAAGCCCUCCUGAUACCUGAGAAAAAUGCCUUGGGCCUUGCCAUCAAAACUCAGGAGGUCCUAAUUACACAUGCUCAUGUAUGUUUCUAAUACUCAUACAGAUGGGUAGAGAGUCUUAUAGCUUGACUGUAACUUAGAGAUCAUCUACUCCAGGAUUUCUAAACCUUGACACGAUUGACGUUUUAGCCAAAUAAUGUUUUUGCUGUGAGGGGGCUGUUCUGUGAGUUGUACAAUGUUUGGCAGCAUCCUUAGAAGCCAGUAACACCACAUAUUUCACAUUGUUACAAUCAAAAAUAUCUCCAGGUGCUGCCAAAUGACUCCAGGGAAGCAAAGUCAUCCCUGGUGGAAAACCACAGACUCAAAAUCAUCUCAAUUUAUGAAUAAGGAAAUCGAGAUCUAGAGAGGUGACCUUCCCAAGGAAACUUUGAUUUAUUCUUGGAUGAUUCUCUCUGGAGAAUUCUUUAUACUUCUCACACAAAGAAAGGGUAUUGUAAAUAUGCACAUAGUGUGAUCCUAUAAUUAUUGUUGUAGAAUAUGUCAUGUCCAACUCUUUGAGACUCCAUGGACUUUAGCCUGCCAGGCUCUUCUAUCCAUGAGAUUUCCCAGGCAACAAUACUGGAGUAGGUUGCUGUUUCCUUCUCCAAGGGAUCUUCCCCACCCAGGGGUCAAACUCUCGUCCCCUGGUUGGCAGGCAGAUUCUUUACCACUGAGCCACCUGGGAAGCCCAUAACUCUAAUACAACCAUAUCACAUUUUUUAGGGUGAGCCUGCUUUUGGGCUUCCCUUGUGGCUCACCUGGUAAAGAAUGCCUGCAAUGCAGGAGACCUGGGUUUGAUCCCUGGAUUGGGAAGAUCUCCUGGAGAAAGGAAAGGCUACCCACUCUAGUAUUCUGGCCUGGAGAAUACCGUGAGUCCAUGGGGUUGCAAAGAGUUGGACAUGACUGAGUGACUUUCACUUACAUUUAAUUAGAAGUGGGCCCUGCUCCUGUACCCUCUCCUGAGGGUCCUAGGGCUGCACUGUUCGCAAUAUGGCUUCCUACCCAGACUUUCCUGGAAUCUGGUUUAGAACAAAAUGUACCAGGCUUUAGAUAUGGAAACACUGUCACUCUCAGCUCCCAUGGCAGUGCUCCUGGCUUGAAUGUCAGUCUACAGGUCUUGGUAUUAAAGGACAGCGAAGGACCUAGGUUUCAUCAGAAAGGAGGAACCCCAAGGUUAGUAGUGGAUGAGCUGUUUCAGGGGCAGAUGAGGUGACUGAAUAGGAAACGUGGCAGGCUGUCCGUUUCACCAAUAAAUCCUAUUUUCUUUAAGAAAAGAACAUGCCUCUGUUAAUUUGUUAGAGCACAGAGUUGCCCACGGCUUUAAAAGUGGCACAGGGAAUAGCAUUACAUUUCUAUUAUCUUCCUAAUGCAGGCAUCAUGCGGCUAUGCUAUUUCACAUUUCCAGCUAAAAAGCAAGCAAUUUCAAAGGCAUUCCGCUAGGCCUGAACAUUUUUAAUGAUGUGUUCUUUCUUAACUUCACUUGUAAUAUCACCCUAUCAAGUGAGUCUAGCCCCUGUGAUUAUUGAAAUAGUUGAAGGAGAUGGCUAAAUUAAAAUUCUGCCACUGUGUGGGGUGGUAGGUGGGGCUGAAAGCAGAAGCUUCAGAAGGAAAGGACAGUUUACAGGUCCUUAGCAAUUUGGUUAAACUUGAGUCUCUUACUAAUUAAAAAUGUGUGAGCUGUUUUGGUAAAUACACAUGACCCAGGUCUCAGCACCACUCAGAGCUUACUGGGGGAACUGCCUAUUGUCAACUCACUGUUGCAGCUUUUCCCCUGCCU
Molecule: long non-coding RNA, 3102 nt
Organism: Capra hircus (goat)
Lineage: Eukaryota; Metazoa; Chordata; Mammalia; Artiodactyla; Bovidae
Source: Ensembl